Molecule: ribosomal RNA, 465 nt
Filed under: uncultured bacterium
Lineage: Bacteria
Description: bacterial SSU rRNA
Rfam family: Bacterial small subunit ribosomal RNA
Source: RNAcentral
CCUACGGGGCGCACCAGUGGGGAAUAUUGCACAAUGGGCGCAAGCCUGGUGCAGCCAUGCCGCGUGUGUGAAGAAGGCCAUCGGGUUGUAAAGCACUUUCAGCGGGGAGGAAGGCGGUGAGGUUAAUAACCUCAUCGAUUGACGUUACCCGCCGAAGAAGCACCGGCUAACUCCGUGCCAGCAGCCGCGGUAAUACGGAGGGUGCAAGCGUUAAUCGGAAUUACUGGGCGUAAAGCGCACGCAGGCGGUCUGUCAAGUCGGAUGUGAAAUCCCCGGGCUCAACCUGGGAACUGCAUUCGAAACUGGCAGGCUAGAGUCUUGUAGAGGGGGGUAGAAUUCCAGGUGUAGCGGUGAAAUGCGUAGAGAUCUGGAGGAAUACCGGUGGCGAAGGCGGCCCCCUGGACAAAGACUGACGCUCAGGUGCGAAAGCGUGGGGAGCAAACAGGAUUAGAUACCCCAGUAGUC